CCUACGGGUGGCAGCAGUGGGGGAUAUUGCACAAUGGGGGAAACCCUGAUGCAGCGACGCCGCGUGGGUGAAGAAGCGCCUCGGCGCGUAAAGCCCUUUCAGCAGGGAAGUAAAUGACGGUACCUGAAGAAGAAGCCCCGUCUAACUACGUUCCAGCAGCCGCGGUAAUACGCAGGGGGCAAGCGUUAUCCGGAUUUACUGGGUGUAAAGGGGGCGUAGACGGGGAUGCAAGCCAGGAGUGAAAGCCUGGGGCCCAACCCCGGGACUGCUCUUGAAACUGGGUGGCUAGAGUGCAGGAGGGGCAGGCGGAAUGCGUGGUGUAGCGGUGAAAUGCGUAGAUAUCAGGAGGAACACCGGUGGCGAAGGCGGCCUGCUGGGCUGCAACUGACGUUGAGGCACGAAAGCGUGGGGAGCAAACAGGAUUAGAUACCCGAGUAGUC
Molecule: ribosomal RNA, 440 nt
Filed under: uncultured bacterium
Lineage: Bacteria
Description: partial 16S ribosomal RNA
Rfam family: Bacterial small subunit ribosomal RNA
Source: RNAcentral